RNAcentral lists this long non-coding RNA (689 nucleotides) under Homo sapiens (human). RNAcentral describes it as "HSALNT0228089". The record is from RNAcentral. Lineage: Eukaryota; Metazoa; Chordata; Mammalia; Primates; Hominidae.
CUCGUCCGAGCCCACCCGCCUUUGGAGGAAAGAGCCAGACUUCUCAGAGGUCAGUCUGUUCAACAAGUGGGACCCCAGGGCCUUCUGUAUGUUCAGCAAAGAGAGCUUGCAGUGACCUCCCCAAAGGAUGGCUCCAUCUCCAUUCUGGGUUCUGAUGAUGCCACUACUUGUCACAUUGUGGUCCUGAGGCACACAGGUAAUGGGGCCACCUGCUUGACACAUUGUGACGGAACCGACACCAAAGCUGAGGUCCCCUUGAUCAUGAACUCCAUAAAAUCCUUUUCUGACCACGCUCAAUGUGGAAGGUGAGAUCUACGCUGCUCUCAUAGGCUGGAAGUACACCUUGUUGGAGGCUUCAGUGACGACAGGCAGUUGUCACAAAAACUCACUCAUCAACUUCUUAGUGAAUUUGACAGGCAAGAAGAUGACAUUCACUUAGUGACAUUAUGUGUGACAGAAUUAAAUGACCGGGAAGAAAACGAAAACCACUUUCCAGUAAUAUAUGGCAUUGCUGUCAACAUUAAGACUGCAGAGAUUUACAGAGCAUCCUUUCAAGAUCGGGGUCCGGAGGAGCAGCUUCGUGCUGCGCGAACUUUAGCAGGAGGACCAAUGAUUAGCAUUUAUGAUGCAGAGACAGAACAACUUCGUAUAGGACCGUACUCCUGGACACCAUUUCCACAUGUGGAUUU